UGAUUGUUUGACUGAGAGAGCAUCUGGCUGAGUGCUGGGUCAGGCGUGUUGGGGUGAUGUGGAGGGCAUCUGGCUGAGUGCAGGGUCAGGCGUGUUGGGGUGAUGUGGAGGGCAUCUGGCCGAGUGCAGGGUCAGGCGUGUUGGGGUGAUGUGGAGGGCAUCUGGCUGAGUGCAGGGUCAGGUGUGUUGGGGUGAUGUGGAGGGCAUCUGGCUGAGUGCUGGGUCAGGCGUAUUGGGGUGAUUUGGAGGGCAUCUGGCUGAGUGCAGGGUCAGGUGUGUUGGGGUGAUGUGGAGGGCAUCUGGCCGAGUGCUGGGUCAGGUGUGUUGGGGUGAUGUGGAGGGCAUCUGGCCGAGUGCAGGGUCAGGUGUGUUGGG
Molecule: long non-coding RNA, 375 nt
Organism: Oncorhynchus tshawytscha (Chinook salmon)
Lineage: Eukaryota; Metazoa; Chordata; Actinopteri; Salmoniformes; Salmonidae
Source: Ensembl